This 1044-nucleotide ribosomal RNA is filed under the name Triticum aestivum (bread wheat). RNAcentral describes it as "partial small subunit ribosomal RNA". Lineage: Eukaryota; Viridiplantae; Streptophyta; Magnoliopsida; Poales; Poaceae. The record is from RNAcentral.
AUGGCCAGGCCCUCCCUGCUUCUCCUGCUGCUCGUCUCCGCCUGCGCCGCUCUCUCCGUCGCCGACGAUGAUCCGAUGGUGAGGAGGUUCGAGCGGUGGAUGGGCAAGCACGGCCGCGCCUACACCGACGCCGGCGAGAAGCAGAGGAGGCUCGAGGUGUACAGGAAGAACGUUGAGCUCAUCGAGGAGUUCAACUCCGGCGGCCACAGCUACACGCUGACCGACAACAAGUUCGCCGACCUGACGAACGAGGAGUUCAGGGCCAAGGUGCUCGGCCUAGGCGCUCCGGGACGAGCCGGCCGGCGCGCUCCGAGAACAGAGAACUUUGCCCCCGUGACAAUGCCUGAAAAAGAGGCUGACGAUGACAACAGCACUCUGCCCAAGGAGGUGGACUGGAGGAAGGAAGGGGCGGUGGUGCCGGUGAAGAACCAAGGCGGCUGCGGCUCGUGCUGGGCGUUCGCGGCGGUGGCGGCCAUGGAGGGGCUGAACCACAUCAAGAAGGGGAAGCUGGUGUCGCUGUCGGAGCAGGAGCUGGUGGACUGCGACGCGGAGGCGGUGGGGUGCGCCGGCGGGUUCAUGAGCUGGGCCUACGAGUUCGUCAUGGACAACCACGGGCUCACCACCGAGGCCAGCUACCCGUACCUGGGCGUCAACGGCGUCUGCCAGACGGCCAAGCUCAACGAGACCACCGUGAGCAUCGCCGGGUACCGGAACGUGACGGCCAACAGCGAGCCGGACCUGCUGCGGGCCGCCGCCGCGCAGCCCGUGUCGGUGGCCGUCGACGCGGGGGGCUUCGUGUGGCAGCUCUACGGCGGGGGCGUCUUCUCGGGGCCGUGCACCGCGCAGGUGAACCACGGCGUCACCGUCGUGGGCUACGGCGAGACCAGCGCCACCGGCGACGAGGCGUCGGGGAAGUACUGGAUCAUCAAGAACUCGUGGGGGGCGGGGUGGGGCGAGGCCGGCUACAUGCUCCUGCAGCGCGACGCCGGUAUGCCCACCGGCCUGUGCGGCGUCGCUCUGCUCGCGAGCUACCCUCUCAUGUGA